This 392-nucleotide ribosomal RNA is filed under the name Zangia erythrocephala. RNAcentral's name for it is "LSU rRNA". It matches the Rfam family "Bacterial large subunit ribosomal RNA", at positions 1711 to 2084 of the family's 2925-position model. The record is from RNAcentral. Lineage: Eukaryota; Fungi; Basidiomycota; Agaricomycetes; Boletales; Boletaceae.
UUCUCGGCAAUAUAUCCUCAUAAGUUCGACAAGAAGAGGAACCAUGAAUUUUAAUUAAUUAAUAACUCCUAUUAAUUUAUUUAUAUGGUGGCACAAAAUCGGAAGCCCCGACUGUUUACUAAAAACACAACUAUCUGCAAUUAUGAAAAUAAUAGUAUAGGUAGUGAGAUUUGCCCAAUGCCAAAUUAAUAAGUAAUAAUAAUAGGUAACUGUUUCUUUACAAAAAAUUGGUUAAUAGCGGUCUUAACUAUGAGGAUCCUAAGGUAGCAAAAUAAAUUGGCCAUUAAAUGUGGUCCAGUAUCAAUAAUUUAACGAUGGCUUCACUGUCUCUACAACUUGCUCAGUGAAAUUGAAUUACCCGUGCAGAUGCGGGUACUCAUUCUCGUUUCCGG